This 305-nucleotide long non-coding RNA is filed under the name Linum usitatissimum (flax). RNAcentral's name for it is "long non-coding RNA (LUSI_LNC001625)". The record is from RNAcentral. Lineage: Eukaryota; Viridiplantae; Streptophyta; Magnoliopsida; Malpighiales; Linaceae.
ACAGAUACACAGCAAAGAGCAAAACCACAAGUUUGUUUGUGUUUCUUCUGGUUUUUAUUCACAAGCCGAUCCUGAUCCUCCUUACGAAACCCGUCCUCAUUAUUAAAAGAAGUGCUCGAAACCCACAUCAAGGAUUGAAAUGGGGUAUCUCGAAACCAGGAAAAAUGAAGUUGCUGGAGGAGGAAGAGGAGGAGGAGAAAUGGUCUCUAGAGUCUUGGUUGAUGAGCCUUUUUAGGCUUUUGGUUGAUGGUCAAAUGCACACGAGUGAAGAAACAAGGAAAAAUAAAGUAUUAUGCAAAGUUUAA